UUCAUGGACAACAACGAUGGCAACACUGCUUCUGUCAAGGCUAAGAUCAUGGCUCAUCCUCACUAUCACCGACUCUUGGCUGCAUAUAUCAACUGCCAAAAGGUUGGAGCACCAUCUGAAGUGGUGGCUAGAUUAGAAGAAGCCUGUGCAUCUGCAGCAGCAAUGGGUCCAACUGGUACGAGUUGUAUUGGUGAAGAUCCAGCCCUUGACCAGUUCAUGGAGGCUUACUGUGAGAUGCUGACCAAGUAUGAGCAAGAGCUAUCAAAGCCCUUGAAGGAAGCCAUGCUUUUCCUCCAGAGGGUCGAGUGUCAAUUCAAAGCCCUCACUGUUUCCUCUCCAAAUUCUGCUUGUGGUGAGGCCAAUGAAAGGAAUGGAUCAUCUGAAGAAGAAGUUGAUGUGAACAACAACUUCAUAGAUCCCCAGGCUGAAGAUCAGGAACUGAAAGGUCAGCUACUGCGCAGGUACAGUGGAUAUUUGGGCAGUCUCAAGCAAGAG
Molecule: unclassified non-coding RNA, 495 nt
Filed under: Hevea brasiliensis (rubber tree)
Lineage: Eukaryota; Viridiplantae; Streptophyta; Magnoliopsida; Malpighiales; Euphorbiaceae
Source: RNAcentral